RNAcentral lists this non-coding RNA (23 nucleotides) under Cricetulus griseus (Chinese hamster). Lineage: Eukaryota; Metazoa; Chordata; Mammalia; Rodentia; Cricetidae. The record is from RNAcentral.
ACCACUGUUCUCAACACCACCAU